RNAcentral lists this ribosomal RNA (460 nucleotides) under uncultured bacterium. RNAcentral's name for it is "partial 16S ribosomal RNA". It matches the Rfam family "Bacterial small subunit ribosomal RNA", at positions 338 to 795 of the family's 1533-position model. The record is from RNAcentral.
CCUACGGGAGGCAGCAGUGAGGAAUAUUGGUCAAUGGGCGGAAGCCUGAACCAGCCAAGUCGCGUGAGGGAAUAAGGCCCUACGGGUCGUAAACCUCUUUUGCCGGGGAGCAAGGGCGGGGACGCGUCCCGGCCCGGAGAGUACCCGGAGAAAAAGCAUCGGCUAACUCCGUGCCAGCACCCGCGGUAAUACGGGGGAUGCGAGCGUUAUCGGGAUUUAUUGGGGUUACGGGGGGCGUAGGGGGGCUUUUAAGUCAGCGGUAAAAAUUCGGGGCUCAACCCAGGUCGGCCGUUGAAACUGGGGGCCUUGAGUGGGCGAGAGGAAGGCGGAAUGCGUGGUGUAGCGGUGAAAUGCAUAGAUAUCACGCAGAACCCCGAUUGCGAAGGCAGCCUUCCGGCGCCCUACUGACGCUGAGGCACGAAAGUGCGGGGAUCGAACAGGAUUAGAUACCCGUGUAGUC